UACGAAGGGGGCUAGCGUUGCUCGGAAUCACUGGGCGUAAAGCGCACGUAGGCGGACUCUUAAGUCGGUGGUGAAAUCCUGGAGCUCAACUCCAGAACUGCCUUCGAUACUGAGAGUCUCGAGUCCGGGAGAGGUGGGUGGAACUGCGAGUGUAGAGGUGAAAUUCGUAGAUAUUCGCAAGAACACCAGUGGCGAAGGCGGCUUACUGGUCCGGUUCUGACGCUGAGGCGCGAAAGCGUGGGGAGCAAACAGG
RNAcentral lists this ribosomal RNA (253 nucleotides) under uncultured bacterium. RNAcentral describes it as "partial 16S ribosomal RNA". It matches the Rfam family "Bacterial small subunit ribosomal RNA", at positions 524 to 776 of the family's 1533-position model. The record is from RNAcentral.